Molecule: ribosomal RNA, 606 nt
Filed under: uncultured bacterium
Lineage: Bacteria
Description: bacterial SSU rRNA
Rfam family: Bacterial small subunit ribosomal RNA (bases 1-539)
Source: RNAcentral
CCUACGGGAGGCAGCAGUGGGGAAUAUUGGACAAUGGGCGAAAGCCUGAUCCAGCAAUUCCGCGUGUGUGAAGAAGGCCUUCGGGUUGUAAAGCACUUUAGUGGGGGAAGAAACAGCUUGGCCACACCAAGCCUUGACGGUACCCCAAGAAUAAGCACCGGCUAACUCUGUGCCAGCAGCCGCGGUAAUACAGAGGGUGCAAGCGUUAAUCGGAUUUACUGGGCGUAAAGGGUGCGUAGGUGGCUAUUUAAGUCGGAUGUGAAAGCCCGGGGCUCAACCUCGGAAUUGCAUUCGAUACUGAGUGGCUAGAGUUCGGUAGAGGGCGGCGGAAUUUCCGGUGUAGCGGUGAAAUGCGUAGAUAUCGGAAGGAACAUCAAUGGCGAAGGCAGCCGCCUGGGCCUGGACUGACACUGAGGCACGAAAGCGUGGGUAGCAAACAGGAUUAGAUACCCUGGUAGUCCACGCCGUAAACGAUGAGAACUUGACGUUGGUUCGUUUUACGAAUCGGUGUCGCAGCUUAACGCGAUAAGUUCUCCGCCUGGGGAGGACGCGCAGUAGAAUACAANAGAUAGAGCGNGAGAGNGCGAGACGACGACGAGGGAGAGG